Panicum hallii is the source of this 139-nucleotide small nucleolar RNA. RefSeq annotates it as small nucleolar RNA Z247. The transcript has a single exon. NCBI's taxonomy places the organism in Eukaryota, Viridiplantae, Streptophyta, Magnoliopsida, Poales, Poaceae. The record is from RefSeq and is a predicted model, not a curated record.
CCACUUGAAGAUGAAGAGAUGGUCGAGCACAUCAUCACCGGCCUGGAUGAGGAAUUCAUGCCAUUGGUUACCGCUCUUGUUGCAAGAACAGAACCGAUCUCCAUGGGAGAACUCUACUCCCAGAUACUGAACUUCGAGA